RNAcentral lists this ribosomal RNA (254 nucleotides) under uncultured bacterium. RNAcentral describes it as "partial 16S ribosomal RNA". It matches the Rfam family "Bacterial small subunit ribosomal RNA", at positions 524 to 776 of the family's 1533-position model. The record is from RNAcentral.
GACGAAGGUGGCAAGCGUUGCUCGGAAUCACUGGGCAUAAAGCGCGCGUAGGCGGAUCGCUAAGUCAGGGGGUGAAAUCCCAGGGCUCAACCCUGGAACUGCCUUUGAUACUGACGAUCUGGAGAUCGGGAGAGGUUGGUGGAAUUCCGAGUGUAGAGGUGAAAUUCGUAGAUAUCUGGAGGAACACCGGUGGCGAAGGCGACAUCCUGGACCGGUAUUGACGCUGAGGCGCGAAAGCCAGGGGAGCAAACGGG